RNAcentral lists this unclassified non-coding RNA (352 nucleotides) under soil metagenome. Its description in RNAcentral is "partial contains 5.8S ribosomal RNA, internal transcribed spacer 2, and large subunit ribosomal RNA". The stretch from base 1 to 120 matches the Rfam family "5.8S ribosomal RNA", at positions 35 to 154 of the family's 154-position model. The record is from RNAcentral.
GAUGAAGAACGUAGCGAAAUGCGAUAAGUAAUGUGAAUUGCAGAAUUCAGUGAAUCAUCGAAUCUUUGAACGCACAUUGCGCCCGCCAGUAUUCUGGCGGGCAUGCCUGUUCGAGCGUCAUUUCAACCCUCAGGCCCCCAGUGCCUGGUGUUGGGGAUCGGCCCAGCCUUCCUGUAAGGCCGCCGGCCCCGAUAUCUAGUGGCGGUCUCGCUGUAGUCCUCCUCUGCGUAGUAGCACAACCUCGCAGUUGGAACGCGGCGGUGGCCAUGCCGUUAAACACCCCACUUCUGAAAGUUGACCUCGGAUCAGGUAGGAAUACCCGCUGAACUUAAGCAUAUCAAUAAGCGGAGGA